CGGGAACUGCUCCCGCCGGGGCCGUUGUCAGGGCUAAGGAUCCCGGGCACCGAGGGAAGCAGUGGGAGGGGCCCCGGGGCCCUCCAAGGGAGCCUGGUUCGCAGAGUGCAGGAUUCGUUCGCAAGGGAGCGCCCUUGUGGGGAACGAGGCAUUGGCACGAAGGGACUUGCCUUUUGCCCCUCCAGACUGCACCCUGGAACUAGAGAAGCAGGUGGGAGUGAGAGGCCAACAUUUUGGAGCCGGAAUGAUUCCCAGGGGAGGGAGUGCCUAGCUGCCUCAGCUUCAAGGUCAUAACUGUUUACUGGCUCUCCAGUUAGGAGAGAUCAAGCGUUGUGUGGAAGAUCUUUCAAAAAGUAAUUAAGGCUGAGCCAUGAUGCUAACAAGCCACAAAGGAGAGUAAGCCUACAGCCUGAUUCCUCUUUCCCAAGCAGAAGGGUAAAUUCCCAUCAUCCCUUAGGAGAACCACACCGGAGACUGUUUGAACUGAAUAGGCCUGUGGGGACCAGACUGUCAGAGGAAGAAUUCAGAAAGGAAGUUGGGGAGUCCAGACCCUGAUAAGCAUUUUCCCAUCCCUGGAUGGGCCUCACCAGGAGAGAGAGAGACCUUGGAGAGGACACAGUAUAUAUGGCUACUGGGCUGGCAGUCUCAAGUAGGAUAUUGAGGCAAGGGCCGCAGUGGGUCUAGGUCCCAGAGCCACAUGCACACGCUUAGACCUAAAGGCAACCGCGGUAGGGGGCUGGGGUGAGAAAGGAGGGAAAGAGAUCUGGAGAAGAGGGGUGAAAUAAGGGUGGAUAUUGCAACUGUGUUUUCUUCUCCUGCAGCUGAGUGUGCCUGGACACGGGUGGAAUGUAAG
Molecule: long non-coding RNA, 853 nt
Organism: Zalophus californianus (California sea lion)
Lineage: Eukaryota; Metazoa; Chordata; Mammalia; Carnivora; Otariidae
Exons: 3
Source: RefSeq, a predicted model, not a curated record